Molecule: ribosomal RNA, 333 nt
Filed under: uncultured beta proteobacterium
Lineage: Bacteria; Pseudomonadati; Pseudomonadota; Betaproteobacteria
Description: bacterial SSU rRNA
Rfam family: Bacterial small subunit ribosomal RNA
Source: RNAcentral
GAGUUUGAUCCUGGCUCAGAUUGAACGCUGGCGGAAUGCUUUACACAUGCAAGUCGAGCGGCAGCGCGGGGCAACCUGGCGGCGAGCGGCGAACGGGUGAGUAAUGCAUCGGAACAUGUCCAUGUCGUGGGGGAUAGCCCGGCGAAAGCCGGAUUAAUACCGCAUACGCCCGAGAGGGGAAAGUGGGGGACCGCAAGGCCUCACGCGAUUGGGUUGGCCGAUGUCCGAUUAGCUAGUUGGCGGGGUAAGAGCCCACAAGGCGAUGACGGGUAGCUGGUCUGAGAGGACGACCAGCCACACUGGAACUGAGACACGGUCCAGACACCUACGGGU